This 301-nucleotide ribosomal RNA is filed under the name uncultured bacterium. Its description in RNAcentral is "partial 16S ribosomal RNA". It matches the Rfam family "Bacterial small subunit ribosomal RNA", at positions 509 to 807 of the family's 1533-position model. The record is from RNAcentral.
CAGUAGCCGCGGUAAUACGGAGGGGGCUAGCGUUGUUCGAAAUUACUGGACGUAAAGCGCACGUAGGCGGCUGUGUAAGUCAGAGGUGAAAGCCCGGGGCUCAACCCCGGAAUAGCCUUUGAGACUGCAUAGCUUGAACACGGGAAAGGUGAGUGGAAUUCCGAGUGUAGAGGUGAAAUUCGUGGAUAUUCGGAAGAACACCAGUGGCGAAGGCGGCUCACUGGACCGUUGUUGACGCUGAGGUGCGAAAGCGUGGGGAGCAAACAGGAUUAGAUACCCCCGUAGUCCCUGUCUCUUAUAC